Molecule: long non-coding RNA, 1035 nt
Organism: Hyla sarda
Lineage: Eukaryota; Metazoa; Chordata; Amphibia; Anura; Hylidae
Exons: 5
Source: RefSeq, a predicted model, not a curated record
AAGGGACAUUACUAGCUCAGCAAUACAUACAGGGCAUCCUGCAGUCAUAUGUGUUGUCUUCCAUGGCUUCCUGCUUCUAGUAGGGUAAUGCUCGACUACACACAGUAAGGAUUUCUCAGGUUUGUCUCCACCAGAUUUGAACAGUUCCUCUGCCUGCCGGUUACCAGAUUUAUCACCAUUGGAGCAUUUAUGGCAAGCUAGCUGGGAUGUCGGCUAUGACAACCAACUGUUGCAGGAUCUACAGGCCCAACUAACAUCUGUGGAUAAAUGUGCCACAGGAUGACAUACGGAACCUGUAUGCCUCCAUGACCAACCAUACCUCAUCUUAUAUCCAGAGUUGCCAAAAAGUUUCCAGUGAACUGUAUAACAGUGAAGAAAUGAAAAUAUUCUGGACAUAUGGUGAGACUACAAGCAAUUAGAUGAUAAGCAGCGCCACAUCUCAUGGAGUGCUGGCCACAACUAAGGUUCUUCGUGACGUCAGGAGUUAGUGUCAGGUGACGAAGUUCCAGAGCGUCGUGCAGAGCGAGUGUGGCAUCAGUCAUGGCUCCAUGGUAGCCCGUACAGCUAGCAGGGACCCCUUAUGUGGUCUAUAUAUACGGGUCUGCCCCUGUGGAUUCAGCACAGAUCGGCAGCCCGAGGAAGUGCGCUUGGAGCCCAGGAAACAGUCUUUCGCUGUGAGGCCGCUCCUCUGCGUCUACCCGCUGUACACUUUUUAAUUGCAUGUGCAUAAAGAUUCCUGCUCGCAAGUAUUCCAGCUGUCAGACACGUCACCUAACACCUCAGCACCAAUAAGGAGAGCACUGCAAAGAAUUGAGGUAUCAGCAUGUGAUUAUAAAGAAAAGUGAAGCUAAAGAUUUGCAGUGUUUUUCAAUGAGAAGGUAUUUAUUGACUGUAGAGUUUAUUUUAGAAAACUGAAGAAAAAAAAAAAGAGGGAAUUUUUCGAUUUUGCUCCUUUUCUCAUUUCUCCCUCCUCCCUUCUACUCGUCUCCUCUCCCUGCAUUGUCUGCAUUUCCACCAGCCCAAACUUACACUAUA